RNAcentral lists this ribosomal RNA (1343 nucleotides) under uncultured bacterium. RNAcentral's name for it is "bacterial SSU rRNA". It matches the Rfam family "Bacterial small subunit ribosomal RNA", at positions 28 to 1381 of the family's 1533-position model. The record is from RNAcentral.
GAUGAACGCUGGCGGCGUGCUUAACACAUGCAAGUCGAACGGAAAGGCUCCUGCUUGCAGGGGUACUCGAGUGGCGAACGGGUGAGUAACACGUGGGUGAUCUGCCCUGCACUUCGGGAUAAGCCUGGGAAACUGGGUCUAAUACCGGAUAGGACGAUGGUUUGGAUGCCAUUGUGGAAAGUUUUUCGGUGUGGGAUGAGCUCGCGGCCUAUCAGCUUGUUGGUGGGGUAAUGGCCUACCAAGGCGUCGACGGGUAGCCGGCCUGAGAGGGUGUACGGCCACAUUGGGACUGAGAUACGGCCCAGACUCCUACGGGAGGCAGCAGUGGGGAAUAUUGCACAAUGGGCGCAAGCCUGAUGCAGCGACGCCGCGUGGGGGAUGACGGCCUUCGGGUUGUAAACUCCUUUCGCUGGGGACGAAGCGCAAGUGACGGUACCUGGAGAAGAAGCACCGGCUAACUACGUGCCAGCAGCCGCGGUAAUACGUAGGGUGCGAGCGUUGUCCGGAAUUACUGGGCGUAAAGAGCUCGUAGGUGGUUUGUCGCGUCGUUUGUGUAAGCCCGCAGCUUAACUGCGGGACUGCAGGCGAUACGGGCAUAACUUGAGUGCUGUAGGGGAGACUGGAAUUCCUGGUGUAGCGGUGGAAUGCGCAGAUAUCAGGAGGAACACCGAUGGCGAAGGCAGGUCUCUGGGCAGUAACUGACGCUGAGGAGCGAAAGCAUGGGUAGCGAACAGGAUUAGAUACCCUGGUAGUCCAUGCCGUAAACGGUGGGCGCUAGGUGUGAGUCCCUUCCACGGGGUUCGUGCCGUAGCUAACGCAUUAAGCGCCCCGCCUGGGGAGUACGGCCGCAAGGCUAAAACUCAAAGGAAUUGACGGGGGCCCGCACAAGCGGCGGAGCAUGUGGAUUAAUUCGAUGCAACGCGAAGAACCUUACCUGGGCUUGACAUACACCAGACCGGGCCAGAGAUGGUCUUUCCCUUUGUGGUUGGUGUACAGGUGGUGCAUGGUUGUCGUCAGCUCGUGCCGUGAGAUGUUGGGUUAAGUCCCGCAACGAGCGCAACCCUUGUCUUAUGUUGCCAGCACGUUAUGGUGGGGACUCGUGAGAGACUGCCGGGGUUAACUCGGAGGAAGGUGGGGAUGACGUCAAAUCAUCAUGCCCCUUAUGUCCAGGGCUUCACACAUGCUACAAUGGUCGGUACAACGCGCCUGCGAGCCUGUGAGGGUGAGCUAAUCGCUGUAAAGCCGGUCGUAGUUCGGAUUGGGGUCUGCAACUCGACCCCAUGAAGUCGGAGCCGCUAGUAAUCGCAGAUCAGCAACGCUGCGGUGAAUACGUUCCCGGGCCU